RNAcentral lists this transfer RNA (75 nucleotides) under Lentisphaeria bacterium. RNAcentral's name for it is "tRNA-Gly". It matches the Rfam family "tRNA". Rfam says of the family: Transfer RNA (tRNA) molecules are approximately 80 nucleotides in length. Their secondary structure includes four short double-helical elements and three loops (D, anti-codon, and T loops). Further hydrogen bonds mediate the characteristic L-shaped molecular structure. tRNAs have two regions of fundamental functional importance: the anti-codon, which is responsible for specific mRNA codon recognition, and the 3' end, to which the tRNAs corresponding amino acid is attached (by aminoacyl-tRNA synthetases). tRNAs cope with the degeneracy of the genetic code in two manners: having more than one tRNA (with a specific anti-codon) for a particular amino acid; and 'wobble' base-pairing, i.e. permitting non-standard base-pairing at the 3rd anti-codon position. The record is from RNAcentral. Lineage: Bacteria; Pseudomonadati; Lentisphaerota; Lentisphaeria.
GCGGGCGUAGCUCAGUGGUAGAGCGUCACGUUGCCAACGUGAUUGUCGAGGGUCCGACUCCCUUCGCCCGCUCCA